Long non-coding RNA from Pogona vitticeps (central bearded dragon), 1591 nucleotides. The record is from Ensembl. Lineage: Eukaryota; Metazoa; Chordata; Lepidosauria; Squamata; Agamidae.
AGGAAAGCCCGCUGUGAUGCCCUCAGUCAGAAGGCGAGAUUUCCAUCUCUUUCUCAGAGGCUGGAAAGCCUCUUAUGCAAGGCGGAGAAAGCAAACGCAGUCUGGCAGUUGAGGCCGUCUGCCCAGGGUCUGGAUCCCGUCCCAACCCGGCCAUCGAGGUGGAGGCGGCGUUGGCGUCAUCCGGAACACUUGGCUGAAGACGUUUCCGCUCAAGCAGAAUCCGAGAAGGAGUUGUCUCGGCUGGUUCCGGGACACCUCUGCCUCUUUUUGGGUGUCAUUCUGAUUAGGAUGUUUUCCUUGCUGAUUAUUUAUUUAUUUAUUUAUUUAUUUAUUUUAUUCGAUGUACGUCUUCUCCUACAACACCAGGAUUCCUCCCAAGCUGCUUCGCACCACCUUCUUUUGUGGGUUCUCCAGCAAAAAAAAUUGUGCCCUCCAUAGCCCUAGGCUAGCUGGUGGUGAAAGGUUUUGGGAAUUGCCGCCCAAGAGCCCCCGGUUUAUCUGAGGUUGGGAACCACAUCCCCCAGACCUUAGAGAAGAAGCCACACCUGCUUCUGCAAUUCCCACCCACCAAUGUUUUUCCCCCCUAUAAAACACUUUUUAAAACUGUGAGUGCCCUCUUCUGCCCUCUAGUGGUCAAAAAAUUAAUUUUGUUCCAAAGUUUUGGAGGAAGCACUGGUGGAGGGGGGGCGAUGGUGACUGUGUCCCCCUUGAAGGCUGACUUCUGAGCCAUUAAAAAAAGGACAUUGUUUACCUUCUCGGCUGUACUAAGCUGGGCGACAAAGACAGGUUGAGGAAGGGUGGGUGUUUCUUUUUUCUUUCUUUUUUUUGGGGGGGGGUGUCCACCUGUUCCAAAAUAAGACUUUCAGGCUCGGGUGUGGGUGGAGAAAGGUUUCAAUCCUCCCACAUAUAGAAUGAAGCCAAUUUCCUGGAUCUUGCAGGCGAAGGAAGAAGGUCUGCUUGGCUCCCUCUUAAGGGAAUCUGUGUUGCAGACAGAAAACAAAGAAAAGAGCUGCAUUAAAGUGCUUCCCUCUCCAUUCUGCUUUGAAUUGGUCCCUUGUUCAGAACCCUUGAGGCCUAAAAUCUUUAUUUCGUUUUAUUUCAUUUGAAAGAGAAAGGACCUAGAGCAGAAAAUGACGAAGCCGAGGCACGAAGGGUCCUGAUUUGAGCCUGCCAUGGUAGUGCAAGACGAACCAGAGAAGAGAGUCAUGCUGGGGAAAGUGGAAGGCAGUGGGAAGAGAGGAGGACCCCCAAUGUGAGAUAGAUCGACUCCCUAAAGGAAGCCAUGGGCUUGAGUCUGCCUUUUGUCCUCCCGCCACUGGUGGCAACUUCUUUGGACAUCCCUCAAAUUCUUUCCGGUUUUUAGCCUGAACUUUACUUGGGGCAUUGGGAAGGAGAGGUGUAGGGUUCAAUACUUCAUUAUCUCUUACCAGUGGCAGGCUAAAACUGAUUCACCACACCUCUGAACCUGGAGCCACACACAGCCCCACUGCCGCUGCUGACCCCAUUUAAAAAAUGGGGAAAUUCUGUCUGGGGCCGUUUGGUUGUUAACACAACUUCUGAGACAAAUAAAAGAUUGAACACUUCAUAUUCA